This is a long non-coding RNA of Carassius gibelio (silver crucian carp), 3588 nucleotides long. RefSeq lists it as uncharacterized. The transcript is spliced from 3 exons. NCBI's taxonomy places the organism in Eukaryota, Metazoa, Chordata, Actinopteri, Cypriniformes, Cyprinidae. The record is from RefSeq and is a predicted model, not a curated record.
UCAGCAUUUAUUUGAUCAAACAUACAGUGAAAGCAGUAAUAUUGUGAAAUAUUAUUACAAUUUAAAUGCCUAUUUUCUCUUUAAAUAUACUUUAAAAUGUCUAAAGUGUCACAUGAUUCUUCAGAAAUUAUUCUAAUAUGAGAAUUUGCUGCUCAAGGAACAUUUUUUAAAGAGGUCAUCGGAUGCAAAAUUUCCACAAACUGAUAUGAUUCUUAAUAUAUGAUUCUUAAUAAGAUCUUAAUGAAAAGUCUGUAACAUAUUUUAGUUAAAAUGUCUUAAUGGUAGUGUAAAACAACAACUUUUUUUACCCUGUCAAAUACAACUCUUUGCAGAGCAAGCCGUUUUGUAGCAUUUUCCUUUAAAUGUUAAUGAGCUCUGCUGACCCCACCCCUCUCUUCCAUGCUGCUCUCAGAGAGACUGUUUACUAUAAGUGCAUUCAUCUGAAACUUGCUAAUUAGCACAUUAUUUGGAAAGAUGAUUUGCAAAGAUUCAUUAAAAAAUAUUUUACUCACGUCUUCUGUUGGUGAAGCUGGGUUGCGAAUUAUUGGCUUGAACAUAGAUGCAUUUAUGUAGAUCGGGGGCUUAUUCCCUUCAAAAACAAAUGUAAUCCACUGCAUCUUCAGUGGCUCACAUGUCAAGAGUAAAUGACGGCUGCUAUGCUCAUUAUUACAUCCAACAACAGAACACCUCAAUCGUUUAGGAAUCAUUCUUGAGAUCGGCUCAAUUUGAGAAAGGGGAAAUUAUUUAAUGAGAUUAAAUAAAAACCACUGGGUGCAACAAGACAUUUAGCCCAGGGUUCAAUAUGUACCUCCAUUUUAAAAUUAUUUAAAACUGUAAUACACUUCUGUACGCUAUAUAAAAAAACAUGGAUUACUUCAAAAUUCUUUUGAGAGAAGUAUUAUUUUUGUGGAUUGGCCAUUAUUAGGCACUAUUAACACAUGUAAUAUCUGUUUCAUUCAUUCUGGCAGCCGGAAGGGCACCCUCAUGCAGAAACUUCACAUAUACAUCUCAGAAAUAAUAGAACUGAUGACACUCAAGGAAACCCCUAAUAUGGACAUCCUGCUAGAAACAUUUUGAAUGAUGAAACAUGAAGACAAUAAACACUCGAUUGUGACAAUGUAUAGUGUUCUUCAAGCCAUUUAGUGUAUUUUCAUAAUGAUGUAUAUUUAUAAUCCAUUGGCUGUCGAUUUUACAGUACAUAUAUUCACAGAAUAUAGAAUAUAUUUUCUGUGUCAUUUUGUGAAAAGAAGCCACGUCAGAUCACAAAAGGAAGUUAUUUCAAACAUUCUGACUGUUGUAGAGUGAAAGCGUGUUAUAAUAUACUCUUUUGGUUUAGAAAUGCUUCUAAUUACAAGACAUCACAUGCCAAACAUCUUUCUUUGUAGUGUUUUUUCAAAUGCAUGUUAUAAGCAGGACAGCGUUUGGUCAUCUCAGUGAUUAGACUCAUGAGCAGACAAACAGAGCCAGUUCAAAAAUUAUUUAAACGCAAAGCCAAAAAAACACAAUUCACAAGCACAUAUUGAACCAUGGAUGUCGUACCCAAUGGUUCAAUUUUAUAUCGAGAAUUGUGGCAUCUCUAAUAAAUAAAUAAAUAAAUAUAUAUAUAAAAAACUUUUUAUAGCAACUAAAAAGCUUCAAUUUCCCUCAGCAUCUUUUUUUUUUUUUAUAAUCAAACAAUGGAUGUUGAGAUUUUGUCUCUCUGUGGUAAAUCGGUGAAAGUAAAUAUCAGACCUAUGCAGGCUACCGACAGUACGUAAAGUGUGCUGUGGUGUCCGAGGAACACAAUUUCUUGAGGUUUAGCAAAGUAUUUGAUAUUUACAUAUUUGUCAGCUGUGCGUCAUAGGGCGCUUGUAUCUGUGUAUUACAAGCUGUUUGUCUGAAAUGAAUUCAGUGUUAAGGGAGUUUAAGGGAACUGAUGCAUUUAGUGCUUCGCAUUACACCCACAUAUUUCCAUUUUUAUUAUAAUUAUCAUCAAACGCAUUACCAGCAUUACCAAGGAGUUUGUUUUGAAUAGAAGCACUAUUAAUGCAUUACUGUUGGCAUUGCUCAUACUUUUCAUAAAACUCUGUGAGAAACCCGUCCUGCACUGUUUUUUGGCGCUGAUAUAAAUGAUAUAUUAAGCUCUGAUUUUAACAACAUCAUAUGGCUCCUUUAAAUAUUACUUUGAAAAUGAAUGAAUUUAAAAAUAACAAAUUAUUUAUUUAAAUUAUUAACUGAAUACGGUUCAUAGGUAUUAUUUCUUCUUCAUUCUCAUGCUUACAAUGGCUGCAUUUAGUCGUAUUAUAACCAAAAUACAGUUGUGCUGCUAUAUAUUUUUUGAGGAAAUCCUGACCCUUUUUUUUCAGUAUUUUUUAUAGCAUUAUAAAUGAAUUUAGAUUCAUUUAAUGCAUGCUUACUAAAAUAAAAGUUUUCAUUUUGUAUUUUUGAAUGGUAGUCUACAGAUCUUGAAAGUCACACUUUAAUUCUCCUCACAACAUUAAAAAUACAGUCAAGAAGAUGUUCUGCACAAAGGAGCCAAAAUGUGAACCAUCAAAGAAUAUGACAUGUUUUCAAAAACAGAUCUGUCAUUCUUGCACAACAGUCUUGCUCUGAUAAACAGCUCGUUUCCUCAAAAACUCAGUGACUCAUUGGUAUUUCUAAGUCUCGCAGACUGUUCACAGCUCAUGUACCAAAACCUCAUUCAUUCAUUUUGCUUUAAGUUGAGAGAGUUCGUCUAGAGCUACAGUUGCAUUUACACAACGCUUAAUCUGCAAGUCUCGUGGAUGACUUUAACUCUAGAGGGCAGUGUUAUCUCAUUUAUUGAGAUAACGUCAUAUCUUUAAUUAAUCUUGUUUCUAUAUCUUCUAGCAGAUUAAAUAUGUGCCAGGUGUACAUCAUGAAGAUACUUCAGACUUUCAGAGAGGGACAACAAGAUAUAUUUCGGAGACAUUCCUGCACCUGAGGUCCAAAAAACAUCCUGAACAUCUUGUGUGACCAGAACGGCGGUCUGUAAAAUUGAAGACGGAUUGAUAAGAAUCUGGAGGAAAUGUACUCCGGUACAGAGCAGAAAAUUAACGCCAAGCAGAGGAGCAGCCAACAAGAAGCAGGUCCAACAACAUGCCUCUCAGCACGAGCGGGAAGUCUAAUUUUCACAUCUGCUCAAGUGAGAGGCUUAAAUCAACAAUCACUUAAGAUAACAAGACUAUAUAAAUUACAAUGGCAAUGAAUUUAAUGAGCAGAGCUCUUAAACAUCCAAUAUUGUGAGCGUUUGAAGGUCCCUGAAGAGUUGAGCAACUGUGGUGCGUAACCAAUGACUCAAAGAAGUGGCAGAAGUUCAGGUCUCUGUUCCACAAAAAGCUUAAACGAAUUCUGUAUUCCUGGCAACUAGUGAUGAUGGCACAUCCUAGAAGAUAUUUAUCUUCAUUUAUGAACAUUGCACACGUUGUUCUGUUAAUUAUCAAUAUUGAUGGCCAGGAGAUAAGGUAAUGAGUAAAUACUAUGUGUUAUUAUUUCCAUGGGAAGCAUCACUUUCACUAUAGACUUACAAAUGAUUUUCACUUAGUAGGCAAUAAAACAGGUGGAAAAUCUCACACACAUAGACAUUCACAG